Molecule: ribosomal RNA, 446 nt
Filed under: uncultured bacterium
Lineage: Bacteria
Description: partial 16S ribosomal RNA
Rfam family: Bacterial small subunit ribosomal RNA
Source: RNAcentral
CCUACGGGUGACAGCAGUCGAGAAUCAUUCACAAUGGGGGAAACCCUGAUGGUGCGACGCCGCGUGGGGGAAUGAAGGUCUUCGGAUUGUAAACUCCUGUCAUGUGGGAGCAAAUUAAAAAGAUAGUACCACAAGAGGAAGAGACGGCUAACUCUGUGCCAGCAGCCGCGGUAAUACAGAGGUCUCAAGCGUUGUUCGGAAUCACUGGGCGUAAAGCGUGCGUAGGCUGUUUCGUAAGCCGUGUGUGAAAGGCGCGGGCUCAACCCGCGGACGGCACAUGAUACUGCGAGACUAGAGUAAGGGAAGGGGAACCGGAAUUCUCGGUGUAGCAGUGAAAUGCGUAGAUAUCGAGAGGAACACUCGUGGCGAAGGCGGGUUCCUGGACAUUAACUGACGCUGAGGCACGAAGGCCAGGGGAGCGAAAGGGAUUAGAUACCCGUGUAGUC